RNAcentral lists this transfer RNA (83 nucleotides) under Deltaproteobacteria bacterium. RNAcentral describes it as "tRNA-Leu". It matches the Rfam family "tRNA". From Rfam's summary of the family: Transfer RNA (tRNA) molecules are approximately 80 nucleotides in length. Their secondary structure includes four short double-helical elements and three loops (D, anti-codon, and T loops). Further hydrogen bonds mediate the characteristic L-shaped molecular structure. tRNAs have two regions of fundamental functional importance: the anti-codon, which is responsible for specific mRNA codon recognition, and the 3' end, to which the tRNAs corresponding amino acid is attached (by aminoacyl-tRNA synthetases). tRNAs cope with the degeneracy of the genetic code in two manners: having more than one tRNA (with a specific anti-codon) for a particular amino acid; and 'wobble' base-pairing, i.e. permitting non-standard base-pairing at the 3rd anti-codon position. The record is from RNAcentral. Lineage: Bacteria; Pseudomonadati; Myxococcota; Myxococcia.
GCCGGGGUGGCGAAAUGGUAGACGCAGGGGACUUAAAAUCCCUCGCUCGCGAGAGCAUGCGGGUUCGAGUCCCGCCCCCGGCA